This 1365-nucleotide long non-coding RNA is filed under the name Lepisosteus oculatus (spotted gar). RNAcentral's name for it is "lncRNA (ENSLOCG00000022526.1)". Lineage: Eukaryota; Metazoa; Chordata; Actinopteri; Semionotiformes; Lepisosteidae. The record is from RNAcentral.
AUUUCUGAUUUUAAGAAAAAUGGUCCUAAAGGAAUCUGAUUGAUGCAAGCCUCACCUGUCUCCUCUUUCAGAAGGUAAGUCGGCCGAUUAAAGUGAUCCUGGGGGAGGGCGCGACUUUCUUUUGUUCCUUCGCAGAGAACAAACGUACAAUGGUUCAAGGCUUUAAGCCAGGGUACCCCUUAUAGCCUUAAUCAUUGCUUGUCUUCGGCUGUCUGUUGCUUAGCAAACAGAAUCAACACAGGAGCUCUUUAAAACCUGUUUAAGCACCAACCACAUCGAAAAGUAGGCUGCCGACUUGGCGUUUAUUUCUUUGUGGAACAAAUGCAGUGAAACUUCAACUCCCUCGGCACGGCCACGUAAAUUAAAAUACUGACGAAUUAAACUGACAUCACUGAUCAGGCGCUGCCUUGCUUAAAGAAGAAAUGACAUCUUCAGCACCCCGGUCUAGCUACGGAAAAGAGGUAUUCAAAAAACGGUGGUUUGACACCGAAGACUGGGAGCUUCUUCAGAGACCCUUGGACCCGUACGAGUUUGAGAGGAUUCGGAGGGUUGCCAGAUCGUCGUGGGAAGCUGACACCCGAAAACGGCUAGAGAGUUUUACUACCUAUAGGGGACAGCAUUGCACCAAAACACUGGACGAGCCAACGCAGUGCAGGGUCAGGCCGAGCUCUCCAACUCGCAUGGAGAAGCCCCAUCCGUCGGAAGUUUUUUUAGUGACCAAGCUACAUACUGUUUCGGGAUACUUUAAUUCUGUGGACCACCAUGCUGUUGGGAAUGCCAGAGGAGGAAGUAAUAGUUAUACCGAACCAAGUACCAGCUUCAGAAGCCCUCUAAAAAAACAGCGAGACGGAAACGGAGAGGUACUUGAGAUGGUGUUCUGCAGCUCACAGCUGGCUCAGGCAGCUAGGGCCUGGAUGAAUCUUGCUCCAGAAGCUGAGAGCAAAGCUGUCCAGGAUUUGGCUGUGAGCAUGUUUCAGGAGCGUGGGAGCUCACUAAAAGAAGGCUCUCCUGCACACAGCUACAUCAGCCAGGCCAUGUCCAAACACAUCAGACCAGAGUGCAUUGUGCCAAUGAACCAGUGGCUCAGGAGGGCAGGGAAAGAAGGUACAUCGAAAAAGACUGGACAGGACCGAACUUUCCAUUUCAAGUGACUGCAUGUACUGUCCGUAAAAGCAUAAAUGUUUCCAGUUCAAGUUCCUCUGCUCAACUGAUUACGAGAAUUGUAAUAUUCAAACUUUUAAAAAAGGAAUAAAAAGUAAAUCAAUCUGUUUGCAGGUGAACAGGAAAGCUGUGGAACAACCAUAUUAUCUCUAUGGUUUCAAAGGAUACAUUUUGAUGUAGUUGGGGGGAUUUUUUCAGUUGUCA